This 253-nucleotide ribosomal RNA is filed under the name uncultured bacterium. Its description in RNAcentral is "partial 16S ribosomal RNA". It matches the Rfam family "Bacterial small subunit ribosomal RNA", at positions 524 to 776 of the family's 1533-position model. The record is from RNAcentral.
UACGUAGGGUGCGAGCGUUAAUCGGAAUUACUGGGCGUAAAGCGUGCGCAGGCGGUUCGUUAAGUUUGUCGUGAAAGCCCCGGGCUCAACCUGGGAAUGGCGAUGAAAACUGGCGGGCUGGAGUGUGGCAGAGGGGGGUGGAAUUCCGCGUGUAGCAGUGAAAUGCGUAGAGAUGCGGAGGAACACCGAUGGCGAAGGCAACCCCCUGGGCUGACACUGACGCUCAGGCACGAAAGCGUGGGGAGCAAACAGG